GCUGGGUGUGGUGGCGUGCGCCUGUAAUCUCAGCUACUCAGGAGGCUGAGGCAGGAGAAUCGCUUGAACCCAGGAGAUGGAGGUUGCAGUGAGCUGAGAUCACGCCAUUGCGCUCCAGCCUGGGUGACAGAGCGAGACUCUGUCUCAA
Molecule: non-coding RNA, 148 nt
Filed under: Pan troglodytes (chimpanzee)
Lineage: Eukaryota; Metazoa; Chordata; Mammalia; Primates; Hominidae
Source: Rfam by way of RNAcentral